CCCUAGUAAGCACUUAAUUCAAAGUGAAUAAUUUAAAAAUAAUAGAAAAUCAAAACAUAUACAUUAUAUAUCAUAAAAUUUUUAUUUUAUUUAUUUUUUUAAAUUAAUUAAAUAGAAAAACACACAUAUCUACCACAGACAAUCUCUCAGUAUGUCAGGUUUUUGUUAAUCCAAAUCAAAUACCCUUAGCAGGAUAAAAAGAUGGAUGUAAAUCUGUAAUUUUAUUACGAAUAUAUGAUGAAUGGUAAGGAAGUGUCUCUACAAAAAGUAGGGAAGAAAGAAAGGGUAAACAAGACCAGAUAUCGUUAUGAUAAGACAUAAAGCAAACAGACAGACCAAAAAAACAUGAUAUGAUUUAUAAAAAACAGACUAAAUGAAUAUCUACAUUUAGUCCCAUGGGUUCUAAUGUUUUUAGUUGAUGAAUCCAAAAAGUUUCCCUUUGGGAUAGAUUCUUAAUCCUAUCGCCACCACACCAAUGGGGGGCAACUCUUUCGAUACCCAUACAUCUGAAAUCUUUCCAUGAAAAGGAAGGGCAUGUACUGCAAUGUGCAGAAACUGAGUGAGUAAUUAACCCCUUCCUAAUGUUGUUCAGAUGUUCAAGUAUUCAAACCUUAAAAGCUCUUACAGUACGGCCCACAUACUGUUUGCCACACGGACACUGCAGUAGAUAAACCUAUAUCUGAUUUAAUAUGAUAUACCUCGCCAGUAGUAAAACUAGAAAAGGUAUUCGAUCUCUCAAUAGUCACAGUCCUACAAGCUUUGCUAAGGAUUUAGCUUGUUUAACUACCAUUUUGUUUAUUUUAACACCUUUCAUUAUUUUCUUGUCUAUUUGUGGAUCUAUAAUCGCAUUGAAGUCUCCAGCUAGUAUUACAUUUCCUACUUUUAUUUCUUUUUUUUUUUCUAGAAUAGAUCUUAAAUAGGAAGCUGGUGAGUAAUUUGGGAGGUAGACAUUACAGAGUGUAAAUAAAUUGGAAUUAAUUUUACAUACUAUUGCCAAAAAUCUGCCAUCUGCAUCUUGUAAUUGUUGAAUUAUUUCUACCUCUAUUUUUUCGCCAAAUAUUAUAGCUACUCCACAUUUUUUUUUAUCUUUAUUUGAGGCUUGUAUAAUAAGCAGGAAUUUUUUUCCACCCAAAGUCUGUUUGUCCGAUUGCCUCCAAUGGGUUUCUUGUAGAAAUCCCAAGUCUAUAUGUUCUGCGGCUAAAUAUUUAUAUACUAAAGACCUCUUUAUUGUUGUGUUCAUACCUUGGACAUUAAGAGUUAACAUUCUUAUCAUUGUAGAUUCCAAAACCCCUUUCCCUCCAUCUCGACACUAUGAUCUCCCCUAUUCUUCUCUAUUGCUGCACAUACAUACAUAUAACAAAAAAACACAUAUCUAAAAUCGUAGGAGGAUAACAUCCUCCUUAAGCACAAAGACUGUUAACUCACCAGCUGGGGAGUCAGUUUAAUCCUGUGUCUAAAUGUUAGACACUAAGUAGGUCUGUCCGGAUUAAGGUGAUGCUACAUAAUAAUACCCCUUAAUUUAUUUUAUUGCAAAAAAAAAAAUUCUAAUCCUGGCAUUCAAAAUAUAAGAAGCAACUUUAUCAUUGUUAUCUUGUCCGACGUCUCUCUAUAUUGUUAUUUACCGGUUAUUAUUAUCAUAGCAUUUAUACAAAUAUUUCUUUACAAUCAUCUUAGUGCAAACCUUAAAUAAAAAAAAAAUAAAAAAAAAACAUAAACUAAACAUAUAUAAAUAAAUUUACAAUAUGUAUAACAGCUUUCUAGCCACAUCAGAUUAUUUUAUAUGUAUAUUGUUAGUAUAUUACAUUAAUCGUGAGUUUAGACAAAUUCCAGCAUUGAUCAUAAGUGCACACCUUAAUAAAUUUAAUAUGAAAAAAAUAGGAGAAAAUAAGUUUUUGUUUAAUUUUUUUAGUUCUACAUGACAUUUUAACUGUCAAUGUCAUAAUACUGCUUGCUUUUACUGCAAUAAAAUACACAUAUUUGUAUUCAACAAAGUCUCACGUGUAAGACUGUAC
Molecule: non-coding RNA, 2012 nt
Organism: Pelobates cultripes (western spadefoot toad)
Lineage: Eukaryota; Metazoa; Chordata; Amphibia; Anura; Pelobatidae
Source: the annotation of a GenBank genome assembly